RNAcentral lists this microRNA (22 nucleotides) under Triops cancriformis. Its description in RNAcentral is "tcf-miR-2b". Its record names the gene tcf-miR-2b. Lineage: Eukaryota; Metazoa; Arthropoda; Branchiopoda; Notostraca; Triopsidae. The record is from miRBase by way of RNAcentral.
UAUCACAGCCAGCUUUGACGAG